UCGUCAGCUCGUGUCGUGAGAUGUUGGGUUAAGUCCCGCAACGAGCGCAACCCUUGCCUUUAGUUGCCAGCAUUAAGUUGGGCACUCUAGAGGGACUGCCGAGGAUAACUCGGAGGAAGGUGGGGAUGACGUCAAAUCAUCAUGCCCCUUAUGCUUAGGGCUACACACGUGCUACAAUGGGUGGUACAGAGGGUUGCCAAACCGUGAGGUGGAGCUAAUCCCUUAAAGCCAUUCUAAGUUCGGAUUGUAGGCUGAAACUCGCCUACAUGAAGCUGGAGUUACUAGUAAUCGCAGAUCAGAAUGCUGCGGUGAAUGCGUUCCCGGGUCUUGUACACACCGCCCGUCACACCAUGGGAGUUGGGGGCGCCCGAAGCCGGUUAGCUAACCUUUUAGGAGGCAACCGUCGAAGGUGAAACCAAUGACUGGGGUGAAGUCGUAACAAGGUAGCCGUA
This 452-nucleotide ribosomal RNA is filed under the name uncultured bacterium. RNAcentral's name for it is "bacterial SSU rRNA". It matches the Rfam family "Bacterial small subunit ribosomal RNA", at positions 1052 to 1504 of the family's 1533-position model. The record is from RNAcentral.